CCCUACGGGGCGCAGCAGGGAAUCUUCCACAAUGGGCGAAAGCCUGAUGGAGCAACGCCGCGUGGGUGAAGAAGGUCUUCGGUUCGUAAAACCCUGUUGUUAGAGAAGAAAGUGCGUGAGAGUAACUGUUCACGUUUCGACGGUAUCUAACCAGAAAGCCACGGCUAACUACGUGCCAGCAGCCGCGGUAAUACGUAGGUGGCAAGCGUUAUCCGGAUUUAUUGGGCGUAAAGGGAACGCAGGCGGUCUUUUAAGUCUGAUGUGAUAGCCUUCGGCUUAACCGGAGUAGUGCAUUGGAACCUGGG
Molecule: ribosomal RNA, 305 nt
Filed under: uncultured bacterium
Lineage: Bacteria
Description: bacterial SSU rRNA
Rfam family: Bacterial small subunit ribosomal RNA
Source: RNAcentral